CCUCGUCUGAGCCCUGGCCUGUGCGUGCCGAUGUUCACUGGAGGUUAAGUAUGUUGUGUGUGGCAUCUUCGGUCAAGAAAGGUGACUACGGAGCUGGCAAUUUCUCGACGGGCUUUGGGGAACCGAGCGCCGUCAUGACCGUUGCGCAACAACGAACUUCAUCACUAGUGAGUGCCCUAAUUGAGUUUGCAGGAUUCUUGGCUGGGUAUUAGGCGUUGUGGGUGUGAGAUUGGAGCACUGGGGUACCGUGACACGGUGCUCCGGCAAGCCCUCAACCGUGCGGGGCGGAGGAGCGGCUAUUGCCGGCGGCUAUGGGUGGAAGAUGACCUGUGUGUUGUGGGAUCAUGGACGAACGGUGGUGAUUAAAUCUUUCCUUACCUCUUCGUCUCAUAUAGAUUCAGCCGUUGCGGGGUGAUCGGGUGGUGGAGAUUGGAUUACGCCAAAAUUAAAUCUGGAUCAUAGAUCUGAAAUCCGAUGCCCCUGGUUGCCUACCGAUUUACAUAUAAUCUGGGCACUUGAUGAGUGAUCCAACGGCUCAGAUCAUCCAAUACCCCUUCGACCGUGCGUAAUUUGUUAAAGACUCCAUGGAUUUUUAUGGAACCAACCCGUGCUCCACCGCACUAGAAGAACCAUCGCCAAUAGGUCCUAAACUUUAUGUUUUAAACCUUGAACUUGGUUAAAAUAGUGUCUGCAGUCCACAGUUCUUGAAUUAAGUAAAAUAAUUUUGAGAAAAUGAUUUUUAGUAUAAAAAUAAUUCUAGAAACUUGUUUAAUUUAUAUUUAAUUCAUAUUAACUCCUUUUUGACCCAUUCCAGUUGCAUUAAAUUCAUAAUAAUGUUGUUUAUCAUCUAGUAACCUUAUUUUGUUAUGAAACAUAGGUUAAAUUUAUACACUUAGUUGGUUUUAUAUCUAACACCUAAAUGUUGGGGAAAUCAUAACUCUUUAACCGUAACUCCGAUUUUAGUGGUUCUCGAACGUAGGAUCUCGUCGCGAUGCGUAGAUCACUAUUAUGAAGUUUGUUCUUAUGUUUGGUGUAAUGAUAAUUUUGCCUAUACCAUGUUUGUUUGUAUCGCAACGAUUAGUAGCGAGGGUUACGAGAAUCUUAAAGACCAAGCUGGUACCUGGGAAUAUUGAGUCACAGGCAAGUUGUGCCCUUGAUCACUUUUCUUUACCCAAUAAUGUUCCUGUUAAUCACUGUAACAUGCUCAGGUUAAUUUGAUGGGACCCAAUAGAUUUCCACUAGCAUUGUUUAUCCCCUACCUUGCAAACAAAAGCAUUAUUGGGUAGUUUUCCUAUUGCUCUACCUGGUUUUGGGAAAUCAAUGUUAUAUUAUGAUCAUGUUCCAGUUAUACUGUUGUUUUAAUUAUUGUUCAUGACAAGAUCAUUGUGUUAAUUGGAACAUGGAGCGACCACCCGGGAAAACAGUGCUACCACAAGGGUGGUAUGGGACGCCCUUGGCUGACUAAUUAGGAAGUCUAGUGGAAGAUUACCUUACCCGAAAGGGGCAAGGGCGGUAGAGGAGCUGCAUAUAGGGAGGAUCUCGGGUCGAUCAUGCUGCGAUGACUUUUCGAACGAGGGAUUCCUAUAUUGCCCUUCUCAGAAAUUGUAGCAGGUUUUCAGAAGCUAGUGGAACUUUGUAAAGGCCUCGUAGUGGUACCCUGCCUCAUCUCCUCGGUAGAGAUGAAUGGGAAGUCGCGAUCUCUUGGCAAAUGGGUAACAUGACUUGUGGGUAAAGAUGUGCAACCUCUGCAGGGUGUAAUACUGGUAUAUUAGUCGUGCUCACGGUCAUGAGCAGCUCGGACCCUCACAUGAGUAAUUUAUGGAACUAAACUUAAUUUGUCAUUUGCAUUGCAUUGUGGGUGUUGUUAUUAAUUUUGAUCUCUUACUUAAUUGGGUUGAUAUCUACUUAUACUUAGUAACUGCUAAUAAAUUUUUGACAAACUCUAAAAGUAAUGCUCAGCUUUAACCAUCUCCUUUGGUAAGCCUUACACUUCAUAUGAGCUCCCACCUUUGGUGAGUUUAUGCACAUUAUUCCCCUCAACUUGUUGAGCGAUGAACGUAUGUGAGCUCACCCUUGUUGUACUCACAUCCCCCUAGGUCAAGGUCAGGUACCAUAGGAUGAGGCGCAUGAAGGAUGCAGUGACGAGUUUGUGAGUGGUCUAGGCCGUUGUCUCCCAGUCAACUUUGGUUGCUGGAUCAUUGACUUCAUAUAAUAUAAUUAUUCAUUUAUUUUGUACAGAACUCCUAUUAUAUAGUAAAGAUGUGACAUUCGUUUAUGUACCAUGAGUCAUCAUUUGUGUGAGACUUGAUCCCAACACUCUUGGUGAUUAUUUCGCGCCCGGGUUUUGUCCCCUAAAACCCGGGUGUGAUAGAAGUGGUAUCAGAGCAAUGUUGACUGUAGGACGAAACCUAGAUAGAACUGGAUAACCUUACCUACUUACCUUUGCUACUCUGAUUCUUUCUAAACUUUUCUUAAUCUUUUCUCAUCUAUUGGUGCUUUACUCUGAUUACUCUUACCUUUUCACUUCUAAAGACAAAAGCGGAUUUCACACUUUGAAAUCAUUUACCUAAAGUGACCUUUAGGAAUAGGAGACCUAAUCUUAGGAACAAAAAUAAAACUAUUUUUGUAGGUAUCUAUACGCUUGAAUGUUUUGUUCUUAUGAUAACUGUUUGAUUUGGUUCUUUGAUUGAGUUGUGGAGUAAUGUCCACAAUUGCAUCUGCAUAUACAUAUAGGCAUAAAAAAUGUGUUAUAAGAUAACUAGCCAACCUAGAUUAUCCCCCAUUAAAAAUAUAUCUAGCUUAAUAGAUCCAUUUCAUCUAGUAGAGAUACCUUAUCCUAAUAAGAUACAUCCUACCUUAAAAAGAUUCUAUCUUAUCCACCCAUCUCAACCCAUCCACUUCGCUUAUCUCAUCAUGAAGUAACAACCAUGAUCUAAUCCAAAAUUAAAUAGAUCUUAUCUAGUCAAAUCUAGUCACGCCCAACUAAUCUAGAUCCAAUCUAAAAUGAGUUACUCAACAAGUUAGUUAAUCCUGAUGAAAUAGAUUAGACCCUACUCCUAUAAAUAUGUUUUACCCUAAAUUGGUGCCCUAGGCUAACUUGACCAUAUACAACUACCUGGCCUCAUGUAACUACCUUACCCAUCAAAUGGUUGCAUAGCCCCUCUAUUUCAACCUAACAACAAAACAAAGAUUCUAACCAACCUACCUCAUGAAAUCUAUCCCAUCCAUAAUGCCACCCACAAUUAUCUUAACUACAUGUCCCUAACUCGAAUGAUCACACCACGACCAAAGGAAAGAAGAUGGUCAACCUCGUCAAGGAAGGAUAAGCACCAACUCAACUCUUCAAAGACAAAGACCAAGCGGGAUCACCAGAUGAGUCAAGAUCCACCCUUCAUGAUGGAGUCAUUCCUUGCCAAAAUCUUUCUUACCCAAUAUAUCCUGGCUCUAACCAAAUCUCAUCUUGCCUAAAAAAUAGCUAGACAUAACGAGUACUCAUGCUUUGCUAGUCACCUUACUCGAAGUUAAGAACUUAGAGAAAAAACCUUUGCAUAUUAGAACCAACACUGACCUACAAACCAAAACCCUCUGUAAUCCCUUUUCUUAGUAAUCUCGAGGACGAGAUUAUUUUUAAGGGGGUAGAAUUUGUAACAUCCCAAAAUAUCAUUUUGGGUAAUUUAGAAAAAGUUUAUAUCAAGAUUUAAAUGAUUAUGUUUUGAAAUAAGGGAUUAAAUCAAAAAAUGGAAAAGGCCUCCAAUGAGUUAUUCUUCCUUAAAAAACUUAUACUUCGAAAUAUUCUCUGAAGGAUUACACAAAAUUGUUGCUUAAUAUAGAGUUCAUGGGUAUCUACGAAUAGGUAAUAAACACUUAAUUUUUAAAUAAGGUCAUUUUUUAUUUUAUUUUAUUUUAUUUUAAAAGGGGUCUUUAGUUAUCUCAUUGUGAUGUAUUCUUUAUUGAGCCAUAUAGCAUUUACUUAGAGAAAAUAAAAUCACAUAUACUUAUACUUUGCAUCAUGCUGGGCUUUUUGAUUGUGCAUAUUUAAAUCUGAAACAUCAACAUAGAAUUGAGUUUGAAAUUUGAAAAUUAAAUUUGA
This 4090-nucleotide long non-coding RNA is filed under the name Zea mays. Its description in RNAcentral is "long non-coding RNA (ZMAY_LNC004860)". Lineage: Eukaryota; Viridiplantae; Streptophyta; Magnoliopsida; Poales; Poaceae. The record is from RNAcentral.